This 460-nucleotide ribosomal RNA is filed under the name uncultured bacterium. Its description in RNAcentral is "partial 16S ribosomal RNA". It matches the Rfam family "Bacterial small subunit ribosomal RNA", at positions 338 to 795 of the family's 1533-position model. The record is from RNAcentral.
CCUACGGGUGACAGCAGUGAGGCAUAUUGGUCAAUGGACGCAAGUCUGAACCAGCCAUGCCGCGUGCAGGAAGACGGCUCUAUGAGUUGUAAACUGCUUUUGUACGAGGGUAAACGCAGAUACGCGUAUCUGUCUGAAAGUAUCGUACGACUAAGUAUCGGCUAACUCCUUGCCAGCAGCCGCGGUAAUACGGAGGAUUCAAGCGUUAUCCGGAUUUAUUGGGUUUAAAGGGUGCGUAGGCGGUCGUAUAAGUUAGUGGGGAAAUCCCGAGGCUCAAAUUCGGAAUUGCCUCUGAUACUGUUCGGCUAGAGAGUAGUUGCGGUAGGCGGAAUGUAUGGUGUAGCGGUGAAAUGCUUAGAGAUCAUACAGAACACCGAUUGCGAAGGCAGCUUACCAAGCUACUUCUGACGUUGAGGCACGAAAGCGUGGGGAGCAAACAGGAUUAGAUACCCGUGUAGUC